Molecule: ribosomal RNA, 489 nt
Filed under: uncultured bacterium
Lineage: Bacteria
Description: partial 16S ribosomal RNA
Rfam family: Bacterial small subunit ribosomal RNA
Source: RNAcentral
AUUGAACGCUGGCGGCAGGCCUAACACAUGCAAGUCGAACGGUAACAGAAAGCAGCUUGCUGCUUUGCUGACGAGUGGCGGACGGGUGAGUAAUGUCUGGGAAACUCCCUGAUGGAGGGGGAUAACUACUGGAAACGGUAGCUAUUACCGCAUAACGUCGCAAGACCAAAGAGGGGGACCUUCGGGCCUCUUGCCAUCGGAUGUGCCCAGAUGGGAUUAGCUAGUAGGUGGGGUAACGGCUCACCUAGGCGACGAUCCCUAGCUGGUCUGAGAGGAUGACCAGCCACACUGGAACUGAGACACGGUCCAGACUCCUACGGGAGGCAGCAGUGGGGAAUAUUGCACAAUGGGCGCAAGCCUGAUGCAGCCAUGCCGCGUGUAUGAAGAAGGCCUUCGGGUUGUAAAGUACUUUCAGCGGGGAGGAAGGGAGUAAAGUUAAUACCUUUGCUCAUUGACGUUACCCGCAGAAGAAGCACCGGCGAACUCCGU